Microtus oregoni (creeping vole) is the source of this 520-nucleotide long non-coding RNA. RefSeq lists it as uncharacterized. The record is from RefSeq and is a predicted model, not a curated record. Lineage: Eukaryota; Metazoa; Chordata; Mammalia; Rodentia; Cricetidae. The transcript has 3 exons.
ACCGUAGCGACUGUUGCGCUGGCGGCUGCGGGCCCGGCACUAUCCUAGCAGCACCAUGUAUAAUGAACAUUCACUAUGAAGAGGAGGAAGAAGAACAAAUGCACAAUGGAUGUCGUGGUACAUGCCUGUAAUCCCAGCGCUUGAGAGACAGAAACAGGAUUGCUUGGAAUUUGAGGCCACUCAGGCCUAUACAGCAAGGCCCUGUCUCCUAAAAACCAACUAAAAACAAACCAAACAGCAAAAAAGAAAUAUCUGCAGACAUUGGUGUGUAUGUGCCACAGCUUGGUGUGGAAGUCAGAAGACAAGUUGAAGAAGUCACUUCUCUCCUUCCUCCUCAUAUACCUGGAAUCAAACUCAGGUAGCCAGUGCCUGUCCUUCAUUUGCUGACAUCUGGUGGCCCUUAAUUAGAUCUUAAACAAUGUUACCAAUUAAGACUAUAAGGAGCUAGCUGUGGUGGCGCACACCUAUAAUCCCAGCACUCAGGAGGCAGAAGCAAGGGGAUCUCUGUGAGUUCGAGGCC